This 107-nucleotide non-coding RNA is filed under the name metagenome. RNAcentral describes it as "Glycine". It matches the Rfam family "Glycine riboswitch aptamer". From Rfam's summary of the family: This family represents the bacterial glycine riboswitch. Glycine riboswitches usually consist of two metabolite-binding aptamers domains with similar structures in tandem. The record is from RNAcentral.
ACAUCCCGUGCGGGAGAGUCACGGUGGUCGGGCGGACGUCCGGCCACAGUGCGCCGAAGGGGCAAUUCCUCCCGGAACCUCUCAGGCACCAGGACCGCACGGGUUGG